GACAGAGGUGCCAAGCGUUAGGCGGAAUCACUGGGCUUAAAGCGUGUGUAGGCGGAAUGGUAAGUACCUUGUGAAAUCCCACAGCUCAACUGUGGAACUGCUCGGUAUACUGCUUUUCUUGAGCCACUUAGGGGCUGUCGGAACAAACGGUGGAGCGGUGAAAUGCGUAGAGAUCGGAAAGAACACCAACGGCGAAAGCACUCUGCUGGGCCGACACUGACACUGAGAGACGAAAGUUAGGGGAGUGAAUGGG
RNAcentral lists this ribosomal RNA (253 nucleotides) under uncultured bacterium. RNAcentral describes it as "partial 16S ribosomal RNA". It matches the Rfam family "Bacterial small subunit ribosomal RNA", at positions 524 to 776 of the family's 1533-position model. The record is from RNAcentral.